This 1449-nucleotide long non-coding RNA is filed under the name Marmota monax (woodchuck). Lineage: Eukaryota; Metazoa; Chordata; Mammalia; Rodentia; Sciuridae. The record is from RNAcentral.
GGGGCCUGUGGCUGAGGGUUUUCGCUGAAGCAUGAAUGACAAAGCCCAUAGCCAAACCCCAGGAACCUCCAAAGGAGACUCCCAAGGAGUGGGGUUUCAGAAGACCAUAGGAAGGAAGGGAGCCAGGGACAGAAUCAGAGCCAGAUGGACAGAACAAAAACUCAAGGGUUUUAUUCCUAUUUUUUGCAAAGAAAUAACAAAUAAUAAUCGAUGGAGAGGAAAUACCGGCGUCAGGGAUAUGAAUGGUGACAAAGUCACAGGUGAGGGAACAAAGCUCAGGAAGGCUGUUUCAGUGCUCAGGCCACUCCCAGCAAGUUCUAAACCGCCCAGGCUGUCCUCAAAGCCUGUGGACAUGCCAGAGCCCAGCGGCCUCUUAGAAUCAGAGAGAGCUGACGGUGGGCCUGGGCACACCCUGGGCAGGGGCCUACAAAACCCUGGCACCAGAGGACAGCAGCUGCCAGGUUCCCGUGAGGCUGACCCCUUAUAUCUUAUUUAGAGACAGGGUCUCGCCUAGUUACUUGGGGCCUUGCUAAGUUGCUGAGGCUGGCUUUGAACUUGGCAUCCUCCUGCCGCAGCCUCCUGGGCUACUGGUGUCACAGGCGUGUCCACUGUGCCCAGAUUCAAGAAUAUUUGAACUAGGAGUGCCUUCAGGGAGACUGCAGUGGACACAGCUUGCAGGAGCAGAUGUGAGUAACCCAUGAAAACUCCCGGGAGAGGAUGCAAAGGUGACUGGGGGGAGAACACCUGCUGUGCCUCUGGGGACGCUGUGGGCCAGGGGGGACUUGGUGGUGCUGAGGACUGCAGAGCAUCCAACAUCUGGGCUCUGUGCCCAUGAGGGGUGUGGAGAGAUGGCCACCCUUCCUGGAAGACAAGGAGUCACCUAAACCCCAGAAGUGGCAGUGGGAGCAGAAAGUGGGACCAUGCCUGGGCAGCUGCACCUGGCUGAGAUGAUGGCCGGGGACUUGGGGUGGCCAUGCCUGGACGACUACCCUGGGCUGAGGCCCAAGUCAGUUCUACAAUCCGAGAGGCAGAGUGGCUGCCUGCCCCCAACAAUCCCCUCUUCCCUGAAAACAAGCACACUGGGGAGAAGUCCCACCAGGUGGCAGCACCCCUCAGGGUGGCGAGGAGGGGAGCCUACCUGGGGAGGUGAGGAGUGGGGAGGAACCCCACCUAGGGGGAUGGGGGAGGAAGCCCACCUGUGGGGGACUGGGGGAGAGGAAUCCUACCUAGGGGGACUGGGGCGGGGAGGGGAGGAAGAAGGAGGAAGCCCACCAGGAGAGACUGAGGGGGAGGAGGAAGCCCACUUGGGGGGACAGAGAUACGGGGGAGAAUGCCCACCUCUGGGAAGCUGAAACAGGCAGCCACUAUGCCCACUACCCACUAUGCACCUCGCCCUCCACCUGGGCCGCCCUGAGCAGAAUGUGGGCAGGCAGCAGAGCCAGCACUAGA